Molecule: ribosomal RNA, 438 nt
Filed under: Triticum aestivum (bread wheat)
Lineage: Eukaryota; Viridiplantae; Streptophyta; Magnoliopsida; Poales; Poaceae
Description: partial small subunit ribosomal RNA
Source: RNAcentral
AUGACUAGAGAUAAUCUGAGGAAAAGACACAUCAUAAAACCAGUUGAGUGUGUUUUUUGCUCGAAGGGUGAAACAAUUUUUCGCUUGUUUUUUGACUGUAUUGUAGCACAAAAUAUCUGGCCAUUCGUUUCUAGUCAUUUUAAGAUUCCAAUAGGAACUGGCUUUGAAUUUGUAUCCAGAUUCUAGAUCUCUAAUAAGAGAAACUCAGCUUUAAAUACUGUUACUUCAGUAGUCAUGUGGUGUUUAUGGAAAUAUAGGAACUCUAUAAUUUUUAACAACACCAUUUGGACUUCUAUUAUCCAGGUAUGGAGGCUGAUCCUCAGGACUCUCAAAUUCUGGGUGACCCUAUCUCCAGAAGGUGGCAAAACAAGACUGGCGGAGUUCUUGACAGCGCUAGCAGCAUUCUUACAGCAACCGGUGCGGAUAACAGGUGGCUGA